UUGAACGCUGGCGGCAUGCCUUACACAUGCAAGUCGAACGGCAGCACGGGAGCAAUCCUGGUGGCGAGUGGCGAACGGGUUGAGUAAUAUAUCGGAACGUGCCCAGUCGUGGGGGAUAACGUAGCGAAAGCUACGCUAAUACCGCAUACGAUCUAAGGAUGAAANCGGGGGAUCGCAAGACCUCGCGCGAUUGGAGCGGCCGAUAUCAGAUUAGCUAGUUGGUGAGGUAAAGGCUCACCAAGGCGACGAUCUGUAGCUGGUCUGAGAGGACGACCAGCCACACUGGGACUGAGACACGGCCCAGACUCCUACGGGAGGCAGCAGUGGGGAAUUUUGGACAAUGGGCGCAAGCCUGAUCCAGCAAUGCCGCGUGCAGGAUGAAGGCCUUCGGGUUGUAAACUGCUUUUGUACGGAACGAAACGGUGAGCUCUAAUACAGCUUGCUAAUGACGGUACCGUAAGAAUAAGCACCGGCUAACUACGUG
RNAcentral lists this ribosomal RNA (484 nucleotides) under uncultured bacterium. Its description in RNAcentral is "bacterial SSU rRNA". It matches the Rfam family "Bacterial small subunit ribosomal RNA", at positions 30 to 507 of the family's 1533-position model. The record is from RNAcentral.